Molecule: ribosomal RNA, 846 nt
Filed under: Kalmusia spartii
Lineage: Eukaryota; Fungi; Ascomycota; Dothideomycetes; Pleosporales; Didymosphaeriaceae
Description: eukaryotic LSU rRNA
Rfam family: Eukaryotic large subunit ribosomal RNA
Source: RNAcentral
GGAUUGCCCUAGUAACGGCGAGUGAAGCGGCAACAGCUCAAAUUUGAAAUCUGGCUCCUUUGGGGUCCGAGUUGUAAUUUGCAGAGGGUGCUUUGGCAUCGGCGGCGGUCUAAGUUCCUUGGAACAGGACAUCGCAGAGGGUGAGAAUCCCGUACGUGGGCGCCUGCCUUUGCCGUGUAAAGCCCCUUCGACGAGUCGAGUUGUUUGGGAAUGCAGCUCUAAAUGGGAGGUAAAUUUCUUCUAAAGCUAAAUACCGGCCAGAGACCGAUAGCGCACAAGUAGAGUGAUCGAAAGAUGAAAAGUACUUUGGAAAGAGAGUCAAAUAGCACGUGAAAUUGUUGAAAGGGAAGCGCUUGCAGCCAGACUUGCCCGCAGUUGCUCACCCAGGCUCCGGCCUGGGGCACUCUUCGGCGGGCAGGCCAGCAUCAGUUUGGGCGGUUGGAUAAAGGCCUCUGUCACGUAUCUCCCUUCGGGGUGACCUUAUAGGGGAGGCGCAAUGCAACCAGCCCGGACUGAGGUCCGCGCAUCUGCUAGGAUGCUGGCGUAAUGGCUGUAAGCGGCCCGUCUUGAAACACGGACCAAGGAGUCUAACAUCUAUGCGAGUGUUUGGGUGUCAAGCCCGGGCGCGUAAUGAAAGUGAACGGAGGUGGGAACCCUUUGGGUGCACCAUCGACCGAUCCUGAUGUCUUCGGAUGGAUUUGAGUAAGAGCAUAGCUGUUGGGACCCGAAAGAUGGUGAACUAUGCUUGAAUAGGGUGAAGCCAGAGGAAACUCUGGUGGAGGCUCGCAGCGGUUCUGACGUGCAAAUCGAUCGUCAAAUUUGGGCAUAGGGGCGAAAGACUAAUCG